Quercus robur (English oak) is the source of this 856-nucleotide long non-coding RNA. RefSeq lists it as uncharacterized. Lineage: Eukaryota; Viridiplantae; Streptophyta; Magnoliopsida; Fagales; Fagaceae. The transcript has 2 exons. The record is from RefSeq and is a predicted model, not a curated record.
AAAGACACAUGAAAAAACAUACAAAAACGUGGGAAGUUGUUGUGUAGUCCAAACCAAUAAGAAGAAGAUAGAUCAUUAAAAACUGAUGAUGUAAGCUAACCUGCCAUGUCACCCAUUAUGUCUAAUGUCCCUUUAACCCCGUCAGUUCUUCUGAGAGUGCUUUCAAAUUUUGUUUUUAGACCAAAUUCAAAUUUGAGAUGUAAAUGGCGGGAUCUAAAAACUUUUCUUCAAAAUUUGUUUUAUGGAAUAUCACAUAUUUCCCAACACCAAACAAAAUGUAUUUCUGGCGAAAUCGCCUCCAACGUUCCACUCACCAGCAACAGCAACCUCAACAUUGCCUUGCUUAUUACCGCACGCCUCCUCUAUGUUUUCUCUAUCGUAAUCCCUUGCCUCCUCAUCCUGGAUAUACAAAAUGCUUUGAUGGGUAAUCCAAAUUUUUAGAUUUGAGAGGUAUGUUGUUCCUUUAACAAAGGAUGAUAAUGCUUCAAGAUUCAAGCAAUGAAUGGGGCAUUUGCAUUUUGGAAGAUGCUUGGAGUAGAGGGAAUCUCGGCUUGCCAAAGAUGAUCGAGGAUGAGCAAUAGGCCAAAGAUGAGGAUCAACAAGUUGAACAUGAAGGAGCUGUCAUUAUUGGCUUUGGAUGAGAUGGAUUCAUUAGUUAGAGAUAAAAAUUAUUAAUAGCUUAUUUCCUAGACUUUCUGAAGUGUAGAGGAGGAUUGGGUUGUUUGCUAGUUUUUUAUCAAGCUUUUGUUAUGAGUUGGGUGUUUAUCAUAAGUUGUAUUGUACAUAUGUCAUGUAUUGUAUGCUAUUUAAAGAGAAACAAAUUAAUAAAGAUGAAAGCAGAAAAUUAGAACUCAAA